UCCGGUUUGUCACCGGCAGUCUCCUUAGAGUUCCCGACAUUACUCGCUGGCAACUAAGGACAAGGGUUGCGCUCGUUGCGGGACUUAACCCAACAUCUCACGACACGAGCUGACGACAGCCAUGCAGCACCUGUCUCACGGUUCCCGAAGGCGCCCGCCCAUCUCUGAGCAGUUCCGUGGAUGUCAAACCCAGGUAAGGUUCUUCGCGUUGCAUCGAAUUAAGCAACAUGCUCCGCCGCUUGUGCGGGCCCCCGUCAAUUCCUUUGAGUUUCAGCCUUGCGACUGUACUCCCCAGGCGGCAUAUUUAACGCGUUAGCUCCGGCACGGACAGAAUGAACUGCCCACACCAAAUAUGCAUCGUUUAGGGCGUGGACUAC
Molecule: unclassified non-coding RNA, 377 nt
Filed under: uncultured bacterium
Lineage: Bacteria
Description: contains 16S-23S intergenic spacer region
Source: RNAcentral